UUGGUUUAUCUGGAUUCUAACAUUGUUUCUUUUCUUUACAGAAUGCUGCCUUUUUAUAUGGCCUUGGUUUGGUCUACUUCCAUUACAAUGCCUUUCAAUGGGCAAUUAAAGCAUUUCAGGAGGCGCUUUAUGUUGAUCCCAGCUUUUGUCGAGCCAAGGAAAUUCAUUUGCGACUUGGACUUAUGUUCAAAGUGAACACAGACUAUGAGUCCAGUUUAAAGGUAAGUUUAAGUCCUUUUAGAUUGAAUUUAAUGUUUAUUAUAAGUAGUGUUGCAUCUUAAAACUGGAAGUAAUGUAUAAAUCAUAAAGUCACAGAAUGUCUUGGGUUGGGAGGGACCUCAAAGAUCAUCUAGUUCCAACACCCUCUGCCAGCCACUAGGUCAGACUGCCCAGAAACCCAUCAAGCCUGGCCUUGAAUGUCUCUAAGGAUGGGGUAAACACCUCCAGGGAUGCGUUCAUUCCCUUUUGGAGAUCUUUGUUCUAGACUAUAACGUGGAAUAGCAAAUGAACUGCAGUCAGUCAUACCGGUGCUUGAUAAUGAGCAUUGCUUUCUAGCCUCUCCACUUUACAAAAACACAAUCAAAGAUUAAGUGAAACCAGACAUUUUAAUGUAUGGCUGUUGCACACAAUUUACUUUAGAAAUAAAAGUGCCGGUAUGAAGUUUCUUACUCUAAAGACAGAGUAAAAAUAGGAUUUGAGUUGUGUUAGUUACUAGAAAUAUUCAGAAAAAAAAAACCAACAAGCAGAAAAUUGAAGGUGAGCACUGGUUCUUUAGCAGUUUAAGUGCAGUGGGAUGAAAAAUUUGCUGUGGGGCUCACACUGGAACAGUAAGUCUUGGGAAAAGGCUGAAGUAGUACAAGAAGCAGGAGGAAAAAGAAGAGAGGAAUUAGCAGCUUGAUUUCUAGAUAUUUGUCUCUGCUUAUUUUAGCUUAAGUAUUGUAAACUGUACGUUCAUAAAAAUCAUUAAUAAUAGAAAGCUUUUACAUCUUAUAUAAAUAAUUUAUUUAAUCAAAUAUUUUAUUUGUUUCUAAUUUUCUAAUAGUGUAAAGGGAAGAGGGUAAACGGGGACUGUGGAUGAGAGAAAAGAUUUGCAAAAGUGGGGGUGCUCUACCAUAUGGGCAAUUGGUGUGUGCCCAUGGAAGUGAGACAUGAUGAAGUGCAUAAAAAGUUUAUUAAUUAAUUCCUAUAUUUCAUCAUUUCAGAGUGUGAUUAAAAGGCAACAAUCAUUUAGAAAUUGUGACUAAUCAUUUAGAAAUUGUGUCAAUACAAUACUUUGUUUCUUUUCUUUUACUUUAAAUUAUUUACAAUUUGCCUUCUUUCAGUUUCUGUAAUAUGUAGCUUUAUCUCCCUCCAUUCAACAUCUUUGCUCCUUUAUCCCUCCUUCCACUUAAUACUCUUUAUCUCCAUGUUCUUUCUGUCACAGAAUCUAAAUUUAGGAGUCUGUAUCUCUGAAAAAGGAAGCUUUCAUCUUUUAAGGAGCUUCAUAUUAUGCUGGGAAGUUCAGCUGUGUGGUUGAAAAUUCUGUAAUUUGUAAUUCAGUGUAAUUUAUACAUAUAUUUCUGCAUAUUAAUCUCUACUAAAGAACUAUUGAAAACUUGUUUGCUUCCAGAAGUGUUGCAGAAUGACUUCCUGUGUUUUCCUGAUUUUUCCAGAUUGUUUUCGUGCAACUUGUAUUUGUGUGGUUAUCAGAAACAUGUCAUCAAAGAUUUGAGAGUAGAGUGUUAUGCAGUUUUUUCCUUUUAUUCUUUGUAAUAACAGGAAGCACUUCUCAUCAGUGUUCUUCUUUGAUUUAUAGUCCAAGCUUUCACCUAUAGAGACAGGUGAAACUGGGGAUUUUAAUUAGAGAGAGCAAUGUUGCAUAGGAAUAUGAAAGAUUCAGUGUAGUAAGUGACAAAAGAGCAAGGGCAUGUAGAAUUAGAUCAUUGCGUUGAAGAGGGAUUAUGUGUGAUUUUACGUGGUCCUGUUUCCUCUUACUUGGGAAUGAAUUUUGUAUUGGCUGUUAUGAUAUGCAGGGAAUGAAAGGAGUGCUAAAGAAGCGCGUUUUUGUUUUCGAUAGAUAUCUUAGGGACAAAUAGAAGUGUGAGCACUUAGUAGUUAACUUCUAAUGAAGUAGUGAAAGGAACGUGUGCAUUUUGAUUUCUAGCAGAAGAAUCAUAGGAUUGCAGAAUCAUAGAAUGGCUUGGGUUGGAAGGGACUUCAAGGAUCAUCAAAUUCCAACCCCCCUGCCAUGGGCAGGGCUGCCAGCUGCUAGAUCAAGUGCUAGAUCAGAUUGCCCAGGGCCCCAUCCACUGUGGCCUUAAACACCUCCAGGGAUGGGGUAUCCAGAGCCUCUCCGGGCAACCUGUACCAGCACCUCACCACUCUCAGUAAAAAACUUCCCCCUGUAUGUUAUCCAUCUCCCUUUCUUUAGUUUAAAACCAUUACCCUUUGUCCUAUUACUUUCUACUUGAGUAAAAGGUUGAUUUCCCUCAUGUUUAUAAACUCCCUUUAAAUAUUGGAGGGCGACAGUGAGGUCUCCGUGCAGCCUUCUCUUUUCUAGGCUGAACAAGCCCAGUUCUUCCAGCCUGUUUUCAUAGGAGAGCUGCUUCAGUCCUUGGAUCAUCUUCAUGGCCCUCCUCCAAACCCUCUUCAAAAGCUCUGAAUCUUUCCCGUGUUGGGGAACCAGACUUGGACUCAUUAUUCCAGCUGGAUCCUCACAAGGGCAGAGUAGUGGGGGACAAUCACCUCUCUCACCCUGCUGGCUACACCUCCAUUCUGAUUACAUCAGAAUGGAUCUCAGGAUACCAUUGGCCAUCUGUGUUGCAAACACACACUGUUGACUCGUGCACUUUUUCAUCAACCAGGACCUCCAAGUACUUCUCAGCAGUGCUGUUCUCAAGGAGUUCCUCUUCUAGUAUGUAUAUGUAUCUGGAAUUACCUCGACCCAAAUGCAAAACCUCGCAUUUUCUUUGUUGAACCUCAUUAGGUUCACAGAGGCCCAUAUUUCAAGUUUCCCAAGGUUUGUAUGGCAUCCCUUCCUUCUUCUGCAUCACUCAGCUUAUUGUCAUCAGCAAACUUUCUGAGGAUGUGUUCAAACCCAUCAUCUAUGUUACUGAUAAAGUUAUUAAAGAGUACCAGUCUCAAGAUGGACCCCUGGGGGAUGCCGCUCAUUACCAGCCUCUACCUGGAUGUAGAGCCAUUGGCCACAAUACUCUGGACCUUUGAACCAAUUCCUUCUCUACUGAAUAGUCCACCCUUCAAAUCCAUAUAUUUUGUGUGGUGGGGAACCAUGUCAAAGGCUUUGCAGAGGUCCAGGUAGAUGACAUGAAUUGCCUUCUCUUUGUUCACCGAUGCUGUCACUCAAUCAUAGAAAGCCCCCAGAUUGGUCAGGCAUAACCUUCCCUUGGUGAAGCCAUGCUGGCUGUCCUGGAUCACUGGCUCAUCCCCCAUGUGCAUUAACAUGUCUUCCAGGAGGAUUUGUUCCAUGAUCUUCCCAGACACUGAUGUGAGGCUGAUCUGCCUGUAGUUCGUGGAUCUUCCUUUCUCCCUUUCUUGUAAAUAGGAGUAAUGUUUCCCUUUUUCCAGUCACCAGGACUUUACCUGGCAGCUAUGAUUUUUUCAAAUGUGAAAAUUGUCAAGAAUUAGAUAACUCCUUCCUGCUGUGCUAUAAAGUAUAUAAUUCUGUCACUGAAUCAAGUAUUUAGAUAUCUUGAGAAUUUGGUCCAUAUCAUUUACUAGGUUUCGUUUUAUCUCUUUGCAAAAUAAAAAGGGUCACACAGAUCCUUAGAGAUUUUUCGUGUAGCAAAAUUUUAGUUUUCAGUACACCAAUAAUGACUCAGAAAAGCACCAAAAAGCUUUUUUAAAAAUGGAAAAGGAAUUAACCUUUUAUAAAUGCAAAAUUAUCAUGAUUCCAUUGUUUUUAUGUGCAGUGUGAUUAAGGCACUUAGGAAAACAAAUAACAACAAAAACGGCUUACCCUGAAGCAUAGCAAAGAUCUUCAAAAGGAUUAUGAAAUAAACAUGAGAAUAGGUUUGCACUGAGGAUAGUUUCCUUUAAUCAAUAUAACUACAGGCUUUUGCUAAAAGGAUGUCUCAUUUUGCACUUUCUCAUCCUGAUUGCUGCAGUGAGUCUAGUGACUUUCCAUUUGCAGAGUGAAGUGGACUGUAAGUCUGAACCAGCUCAGCUUGUGACUGCACAGAUCUAUGAUAGAUGCAUGAUAGAAAGCAGGAGUGUGCAAAUGGGAAGGAGAGGGAAGAGCUGUAUUGUUCCCUUCUGAUACACAGACAUAUGAAACUCUACUCUGGAAUACUCAACUGAAACACCUAAGAUUUAGUUUCUGUUUUGCUCCUUUGACUGUGAAAGUUGCUAUCUUUAGCAGGGAAUCAAUAACCAGCAGUGAGGAGCAAGACCAAAUGGACCCAGUGGAGCAAUCCAAUUGGUCUUGAACAGUUUGGGUUGUUUUCAUUUUUGUUCAGCUGUGGGUUUAAUACAGAGUCUUGAGACUGAGUCAUUUUAUUCUACAUUGAAACAAAUCAAUGUGUCCAUCAGAAUAUAUAAGUUAAUAUAUAAAUUGAGGAGUAGAGUAAGUGGAAUGAGCAGGACAGUAGCUUCUUGAAAAGUCAAUCAGAUUGAUCUCAAAGUUGAGGUUUAAGUCAGAACUCUGUAUUAAAAGAAUACUAGAACAAACUGGACACAAGGCAGAAAAUAAUUCUUUAGUGAAGAGAACAAAAUGGUGGAGAUUAUGCACAAGCACAAGGAUAAUAAAAUGAGAAAGAGAAGUGCAGAAAAUGUUUUCACAGAAUGUCUUCUUCCAAAACUGAACGUCUCAUCUUUUCGAAAAAGAAGGAGGAUUGUGUUGUUUUGUUUGUUUUUUUUUUGUAGGUGGUGAUGGUGCUUUUUUGUUUUGUUUCAUGGACCUUGUCAAAAGGAUUCAGGAUUUUAAAGAGUGGCAUUGGGUUUUAGGAUCAAGGCAGCUAAUGACUGGCCAUGAACACAAGCUAUUUUUCUGAGGCUGUGUCUAACAUAAUUCAUAGUCCAGUAUGAGUUUCCUGUAUGACUCUAAGGUAGAAAGUAGGAUUAAGUUUUCAUCUGAUACUCUUUUUUGAUGGUUCUGAAUUUCACAAAUUGUACCAACGUUGCAUUAAUGUACUUUAAAAUAUCAUAAUAUUUUUGAUGGUAUUUAAACAUUCAUGCUAAGUCUGUAAUUGCUAAGAAUAAACCUCUGCCAACAGAUGAGUCAUUGCCAGUAAGAGUCUCCAGGCAAAGGAGGAAGGAUGGGAAUCUGAAGGUCAUAUAUUCCAUGUUUUUCACAAUUUUAGACCAUUAACAUAAAUCAUCUAUAUUUUAUGUAAGCAAUUUAAGCACAAAAUUAAUUUUUACUACUUUAAGAUGUUGAGGAUCAAGAUAAUUACUAGAGUGCUGUUUAACAAGCAUAAAAUCAACUCUCAGUGUUUUUUCAAAAUCAAUUACUGCUUUUGCAUGUUUUUAAUAUUGCUGCACUUAGGACUUACAGAUUACUCCAAAAACCUUUGACUGCUCUGUUACCCAGUUAUUAUAAACUUUGGCAAGAACACGGGGGAUGUUGAAAAUUACUAGGUCUUCAGGAUUGAAGGAAAAGUAUGAUCCUUCUGGUUGAAAGGAAAGUUGUCAUUCUGUAACCUGACAGUUAGGACAGUGUUAUCUUCAGAAGUGAUACGUGUAUGUAUUUGUGUCAUUCAUCAGAAAAAUAGAAUUAAUUCCAAGGUCAGCUGUUAAUGUUGGGGGAGGGAGAAGAGGAGGGCAGGGAUUUUAUUAUUGCUAUAGCAGAAACAUAUAUUAAGGUUUAUAUCAUAGUCCUAACCUUCACUAUGUGUCCCAGCUGCCCCCUUCAUAUUUGCUCAUGAAAUGAAUGACACCAAGAGCACUGUUUUCAAUUUUGUUAGCUAUGGUGGUUCUGUGAUAAGCUAAAAGAAGAAUAAAUCAAGUCCUUUGGGAAUGUAGUAUAUCUUUUUAUUAGUUUCUCUAGUGAGUUGGAAAAAAUGUACAAGUUUCUGAGCACAUGUUCCAUGGCACAUCACCUGCUUAUUCCAAUUUUCUUCUUUAUUUAUGUAUUCUUUCAGUUUCAGCCUUGUUUUCAUGUUUACUCAUCCUGUCUUAGGCGUGUGUCUCAGUUCCUCUCAAAAGUACAUUUGAAUCUUAACCAAUUGCUAGGAAAUAUGCUAGAAUGAAAGAAGUUCAGAGAAGUUUCUACAACAUGCAUCUGCAACAUGUUGCCCCAGAAGCAUUUGUUUGUGCUAUAUACUAGGUGAUCUGAUCACUCUGUCUGCAGAGGAAACACCAUAUAACCUGGUAUGUGAGUAGUCUGUAGGGAUGCAGAAAAUACAGCCUUCCCAUCCAUAAGAUGCUUUACCUUCUGACAGACCUGGUGGCCCUUAUCUAGCUGAACCCGGAGAUUGGUAAAGCACAGAGGUGGAUCGAGGUAUGUUGUGUGGGACUUGUAGGAAAGAGAAGCUGAGGAAAAAAGAAUUAUAAAUUAUAGUUUUAGUAUUAUUUAGUUUAAUAGUUGUGUUUCAUUGGAAACCGCAGCUAUGGGGAACCAGUCUUCCAUCUGGUGCUCAUUCUGUUCUGCUGUGUUGAAGUGUCAUAGUGUGCUCUUGGUGGGGGAUGAUGAUGACAAGCCUUAAAGUCUUUUGAAUGUAAAAUUCAGUUAACUUCAUUUGCUGACAUACUAUUUCAGAGAAAAAGAAAGCUUACUUUUUCAUUUGUGUUAGAAUGAUAGCAUCAAGGACAUGAUGAGUGGGAGAGAGUUCUUAUGUGGUUUUGGUUUUACGAGGGUUCUUGUUUUGUUUGCUUUUAUGUGUUUUUUGGGUUGUUGUCUUGUAAUGGGUGGUCAGUAGGGACUCUGAACAUGAGCAGGCUAUUUUGACAAAUGAACCUGUAUUGUGUUUUGGGAAUUACGUUUGCUUGCAUUUCAAGUAUUGCAGGUACAUUCUGUGCUCAGUGACAAAAUCCU
Meleagris gallopavo (turkey) is the source of this 6970-nucleotide non-coding RNA. The record is from RefSeq and is a predicted model, not a curated record. NCBI's taxonomy places the organism in Eukaryota, Metazoa, Chordata, Aves, Galliformes, Phasianidae.